GACGAACGCUGGCGGCGUGCCUAAUACAUGCAAGUCGAGCGAGCGGAACCAGCAGAUCUGCUUCGGCAGUGACGCUGGGAAAGCGAGCGGCGGAUGGGUGAGUAACACGUGGGGAACCUGCCCCAGAGUCUGGGAUACCACUUGGAAACAGGUGCUAAUACCGGAUAAGAAAGCAGAUCGCAUGAUCAGCUUUUAAAAGGCGACGUAAGCUGUCGCUCAGGGAUGGCCCCGCGGUGCAUUAGCUAGUUGGCAAGGUAACGGCCUACCAAGGCAAUGAUGCAUAGCCGAGCUGAGAGACUGAUCGGCCACAUUGGGACUGAGACACGGCCCAAACUCCUACGGGAGGCAGCAGUAGGGAAUCUUCCACAAUGGACGCAAGUCUGAUGGAGCAACGCCGCGUGAGUGAAGAAGGUUUUCGGAUCGUAAAGCUCUGUUGUUGGUGAAGAAGGAUAGAGGUAGUAACUGGCCUUUAUUUGACGUAAUCAACCAGAAAGUC
Molecule: ribosomal RNA, 496 nt
Filed under: Lactobacillus sp. oral taxon 461
Lineage: Bacteria; Bacillati; Bacillota; Bacilli; Lactobacillales; Lactobacillaceae
Description: bacterial SSU rRNA
Rfam family: Bacterial small subunit ribosomal RNA
Source: RNAcentral